Molecule: ribosomal RNA, 328 nt
Filed under: Pireneitega luctuosa
Lineage: Eukaryota; Metazoa; Arthropoda; Arachnida; Araneae; Agelenidae
Description: partial small subunit ribosomal RNA
Source: RNAcentral
UAAACUAGGAUUAGAUACCCUAUUAUAUUUAAAUAUAUAAAGUAGUAGUAAAAUAACAAAACUAAUUUAAUUUGGCGGCAUUUUAUCUUUUUAGAGGAAUUUGUCUAUUAAUCGAUAAUCCACGUUAAUUCUCACUUCAAUUUAAAAUUUAUAUACCGCCAUCUUAAGAAUUAAUUAAAAAAAUCUUUCUCUCAAUAAUUAAUAAAAAGGUGGGGCGAGGUGUAAUCCCUAUUAAAGAUUAGAUGAAUUACAUUAAAAAAUAUUUAAAGCUUAUCUAUACACUUAUAAAUAUAAAUAAGAAUUUAAAAGUAAUAUAUAACAACAAUAA